Molecule: ribosomal RNA, 92 nt
Filed under: [Clostridium] innocuum
Lineage: Bacteria; Bacillati; Bacillota; Clostridia; Eubacteriales; Clostridiaceae
Source: RNAcentral
UACACCUGUUCUCAUCCCGAACACAGAAGUUAAGCAUAUCAGCGGCGACAAUAUCUGGACUGGCUCCAGUGAAGAUAGCACGCUGCCAGGUA